AGAGCCAACGGUGGAUGCCUUGGCGCCUGAAGCCGAAGAAGGACGUGGGCGACUGCGAAAAGCCACGGGGAGCUGUCUACCAAGCUUUGAUCCGUGGAUGUCCGAAUGGGGCAACCCAGCACCCGUCAUGGGGUGUUACUCCCGCCUGAAUGUAUAGGGCGGGUAGAGGGAACCGGGGGAAUUGAAACAUCUAAGUACCCCGAGGAGAGGAAAACAACAGUGACUCCCCUAGUAGCGGCGAGCGAAAAGGGAAGAGCCUAAACCGUGCCGGUGUUAAAGCCUGAUGGCGUUGCCGGUAUGGGGUUGUGGGAUUUAAGAGAAGGCGCAUCAGAGCCUUCACGGAGUUACAAAUCCGAUGUUUAGUGGAAGCAGUCAGGAAAGCUGCACCGAAGAGGGUAAUAGUCCCGUACACGAAAAGCAGAGGACUCCGCUUAAACACCCGAGUAGCGCCGGAUCCGGGAAAGCCGGCGUGAAUCUGCGAGGACCAUCUCGUAAGGCUAAGUACUCACAGGCGACCGAUAGCGAACUAGUACCGUGAGGGAAAGGUGAAAAGUACCCCGGGAGGGGAGUGAAAUAGUACCUGAAACCGUUGGCUUACAAACAGUCAAAGCGUCGUUAGCUCCAGUGCCACAUGGCCAAUUGCCUUCGGGUGAGCGGCCUAGGCAACAGCUGGGUGCUAGCCGUGAUGGCGUGCCUUUUGAAGAAUGAGCCAGCGAGUUACGGUGUGUGGCGAGGUUAACCCGUGAGGGGUAGCCGAAGCGAAAGCGAGUCUGAAUAGGGCGAUGAGUCGCACGCUGUAGACCCGAAGCCGAGUGAGCUAGCCAUGGGCAGGCUGAAGCGGGGGUAAGACCCCGUGGAGGGCCGAACCCACCUAGGUUGAAAACUGGGGGGAUGACCUGUGGUUAGGGGUGAAAGGCCAAUCAAACUCGGUGAUAGCUGGUUCUCCCCGAAAUGCAUUUAGGUGCAGCGUUAGACGUUCAGCAUCGGAGGUAGAGCACUGAAUGGGCUAGGGGGCCUACAAGCUUACUGACCCCAAUCAAACUCCGAAUGCCGAUGCUCAAGAGUCUGGCAGUGAGACCACGGGGGAUGAGCUUCGUUGGUCGAAAGGGAAACAGCCCAGACCGUCAGCUAAGGCCCCAAAUUCUUGACUAAGUGGAAAACGAUGUGGGAACGCUCAGACAGCCAGGAGGUUGGCUUAGAAGCAGCCACCCUUUAAAGAGUGCGUAAUAGCUCACUGGUCGAGUGGUCCUGCGCGGAUAAUGUAACGGGGCUCAAGUCAAGAGCCGAAGCUACGGAUUUCUGUCAUAUGACAGGAGUGGUAGGGGAGCGUCGAUCCUCGCUGAGAAGCGGCGGUGGAAACCGUCGUGGAGCGUGGUCGAGUGAGAAUGUUGGUAUGAGUAGCGAGAGAGGGGUGAGAAACCCCUCCGCCGUAAGCCCAAGGGUUCCUGGGGAAGGCUAAUCCUCCCAGGGUAAGUCGGGAGCUAAGGCGAGGCCGAGAGGCGUAGUCGAUGCACAACUGGUUGAUAUUCCAGUACUUCCGUGUCCGCGCCCAAUCCAAUUCUGGUGAUCCUAAGGGGCUGUCCUUCGGGGCGAACCGACCGGACCCAGAGGCGGAUAGCGAAGGAGGGACGCAGGAGGGUAGGUGAGCCCAGGCGUUGGUUGUCCUGGGGUAAGCGUGUAGGGAGAGGUCUAGGCAAAUCCGGACCUCAUCAUCCCGAGACGCGAUGCCGAGCCGUCACAGGCGAAGUCACUGAUUCCAUGCUGCCUAGAAAAGCUCCUAGCGAGCUGACACGGUGCCCGUACCCCAAACCGACACAGGUGGGCGGGUAGAGAAUACCAAGGCGAUCGGGAGAACUGUGGUUAAGGAACUCGGCAAAAUUCCUCCGUAACUUCGGGAGAAGGAGGGCCCCAAUAGGGUGAAGGACUUCGCGUCCGGAGCUUGAGGGGGCCGCAGUGAAUUGGGGAAAGCGACUGUUUACUAAAAACACAGGAGCGUGCGAAGUCGUAAGACGAUGUAUACGCUCUGACGCCUGCCCGGUGCCGGAAGGUUACGGGGAAGGGUUAGCCCUAGGGCGAAGCUCUGAACCUAAGCCCCGGUAAACGGCGGCCGUAACUAUAACGGUCCUAAGGUAGACCCCCUGGAAUACGUGCCCAGGGGCUGCCCCUAGCAAGAGUGAUCUUGCAUAGUGCAGCUGGCCAUAUGCUGGAAACCCCGAGUAUCUGGUGGUACUCAUUCGUGUCACACUCCGUAGUUAGGGUUGUGUCAUGGAAAGUGAAAAUCCACCCAGUGCGGGCAAUCAGCAGGAAAGGCCAGGAUUUGCGCAGUGGGUCGUCGGCUUUGUCGACGGCGAGGGCUGCUUCAGCGUUCCAAUCUUCAUGAAUCGAACGUGCCGGCUCGGUUGGCAAGCCCAACCGACCUUCACGGUGGUCCAAGGAGUGAAGAGCGAGAGUGCGAUGCACUUGCUGAAGUCGUUCUUUGGAUGUGGUCACGUUGGUCGUAAUGACCGACACGACAAUCAUCGGGAAGCACUGAGCCGUUUCACGGUGAGGAGGCUUUCGGACCUGUCGGACCGGAUCGUCCCGUUCUUCGAAGAACACCCACUGAUUACGGCAAAGAACGCCGACUUUGCAAAGUUUGCGCAAGUAGUUCGGCUUAUGAAUGAAGGUUCCCAUCUGACAACAGAUGGACUCAUUCGAAUAGCGGAGCUGUCGCAGACGAUGAAUCGUCGGCAGCCGUCACAUUUCCUGGAAUCCUCAGAGGCCAUACGCCAGCCACCUCGAGUCGACUCUCGAGGUGAAGAUAUGGUCCGAGCCCCAUGGCGACAUGGGGACUAACUCGAGCGAAAUUCCUUGUCGGGUAAGUUCCGACCUGCACGAAUGGCGUAACGACUUUCCUACUGUCUCAACCACAGACCCGGCGAAAUUGAACUACGAGUAAAGAUGCUCGUUAGCUGCAUCAGGACGGAAAGACCCCGUGGACCUUUACUACAGUUUGAUGUUGUGUUUUGGUACAAUUUGUGUAGGAUAGGUGGGAGUCAUUGAAGCAUUGGCGCUAG
RNAcentral lists this ribosomal RNA (3056 nucleotides) under Acidimicrobiaceae bacterium. RNAcentral describes it as "bacterial LSU rRNA". It matches the Rfam family "Bacterial large subunit ribosomal RNA", at positions 14 to 2174 of the family's 2925-position model. Lineage: Bacteria; Bacillati; Actinomycetota; Acidimicrobiia; Acidimicrobiales; Acidimicrobiaceae. The record is from RNAcentral.